Molecule: long non-coding RNA, 1371 nt
Filed under: Anser brachyrhynchus (Pink-footed goose)
Lineage: Eukaryota; Metazoa; Chordata; Aves; Anseriformes; Anatidae
Description: lncRNA (ENSABRG00000013951.1)
Source: RNAcentral
UUUGGAUUUAGGUUCUUUCAUCAUGAAACCCCAAAUUUAUGGAAUCUGUUGGGAUUAUCAUGGGAGAUGCUGAAUAUACUUGAACUACAGUAAGGGCACAAAACUGGAGUUAACAAGAGCAAAACAUUCCAAACACUGAUGUCGAGUCUUCCAUGUACUUCAUACGUCACUGAAGCAAUAGUAGCUGGAUCUGUGCUCUGUGUUGCAGACCACCACUCCCUGCCCUGGGUUUGCCCAGGGCUAACACUGGCAUUGCAGCAGAGGAUGGCCCUUAGGAUUGGCAAUGACCGCUGUAGGACAAAGUCUCGAUUUUACAAGCUUGAAAAACACAGCUGCAGCCUCUUACUGCAGCUCUGCAAGCAGGCAGUGCCCUGCCACACAGCAAACAAGCACCAGCUGCAUUUCUGCUUGACCAAAACAUCAGGAUCUGACUUCGAGGUGUUUGUUACCACUUUGUAAAGGUUAGAAAAAAACACUGAACCCUACGUGGUAAGUCCUUAGCACGCUGACUUAUACCCUUGGACAUAUGGAAGAAGAACCACAAGCUGGAAAUUCCUUGGAGAUGAGGGAGUGAACAAACGCCCACUCCAUUCAGGGCUACUGCUCCAGUUGCCUGGUCUGUAAGAAUAGCAUCAUAAAGAUGUUUCCCUAACCUCCCUUUCCAACCAAAUUAAAAACAAUAAUGAAUGGUGAACGUUUUAAUUGGUCUAUUAAUUUACCGCCAAAUUUCAGUGAGUGGCUGAAGCUCUUUGCGCUGUUGCUUAGACUUGCUGGUGAACUCUGAAUUAUCAGUAAUACUGAGAAGUGGCGAUAAAUUCAUUUAUGCUGAUAACUCCAAAUCCUUGAAUUCACCACUGCCUCAGUCUGUUGAGACUGGUAUAUAAUGAAGCCUCUUGGGCAAAAGGGCAGGUGAGGUGUCCCUGCUGCCCUUCACAUUUGGAUGUGGAAGAUUUUGCCUAUUGUUCCUCAGUAUUUGUCUACCUGAGUUAACAUUUCUCAAAGCACAGCAGAGAAACCUGUGCCCAGCCCCACAGUGCUCUGGGUAGAUAGUUUAUAUUCCUUUGUUAUAGCUCUACCCUAAUAUCAAGGCACGGAAGUAGAGGUACUGUGAAUUUUACACUCUGUUGCCCCAAGAUGGGCUCUCAAAUAUUUCCUUUUUCUUGGACAAGUAAAGAACUUUGCCUCUGAACCCACUAGACAUCUGGGGCAGGCUACCCAUGGAAGAAAGGAGAGCAGGGGCAGGCAUGAAGAUAAGGCCAUGCCAUGAAAGCAAGGGAGCAGGGCCCUCAGUCAGCAACACAGUAGUCAAGCUCUUUCUUCCCUGUGUCCCCUGGGACUAUUCAUAGCCCUAGAAAUACCGAGGAAUUACGG